UGGGAGGGGGCCACUGAAAAGACAUGGUACCCCAGGCUGCCCGUGAGUUAAGCUGCUUUGGUCAUGCGGGAGGUGGGGGUCGGCGGGUUCUUGAGGAGGUAAAGGGAUCUACUUUCUGCUCCUCUGAGGGAGGAUACGCUUCCUAUCUCUUCUCUGAUAUACUGGUCAUCAGCACAAUUCAGGAUCACGGGAAGUGGUGGUGUUGGACAAAGACCACUACCCUAGAACUUUGAAGACCCACUUCCGGCCAUGUCACUUAGUAGCUAUGUCAGCUUGAGUGAGUACUUUAACUGCGCUGGAAACGGGGGUUAGUGAUUCUUCCCUAAGGAUCUCUGUGAGAAUUAAAUGAGGUCACCUGUGUGAAAGCCCUAGCAUGAUGCCUGCUACAUUGUAAGUGCUCAAUACGUGUUCGUUUGUCCCCUUUCUUGCAGCUGCUAUAUUGGGAGGAAGGGUCUACUUUAAGCACAAGCUCGCACAACUGGUGAGUUUUCUCUUCUGUCCUCCACCCCUUGAAUUCAUCCCCUCAAAAUCCUCCCCUCCAAGACUUUUGGAGAAACUAGAGCGCAUUCUCAAUGUCAUGCCCUGGCUUUGGUUUCCUCUCAUCCCAGCACCUGUAGUAUGAUGCUUAUACUGAUGUCAGUCCCAUGGCCAAGAGUCGUAGCUGCCUGGAGUCCUGCACCCCUGACAGACUGGGCAGGAACGAAAGGAUCAGCAGAAAGCUAGACUGGCGGGGGCCAGAUAGCUCAGGUGCUAAUGCCUUGGGUGCUCCGUACCUGUGUGUGUGUGUGUGUGUGUGUGUGUGUGUGUGUGUGUGUUUUAGGGGGAAACUAUUGCUUAUUAGUACUAAAAUGUAACAAUGUCAUGAAGUACUUACCAUACGCUAAGUGCUUUACAUUCCUUUCUUCAUUUAUCUUCACAGCAGCUCUGCAAGAUAGGUAUUGUUAUUGCUACUUUGCAAAUGAAAAUACCGAGGCUCUGAGAAGACAACUUGCUCCAAGCGAUACACCUCUACACCUCGUAAGAAGCUGCGGCAGAGCGAAUGCUAUGUAUUGGCCACACUACUUUCUGUUCCUGGGCAAGCAGGAAAAUGGUUCCUGA
This 1098-nucleotide long non-coding RNA is filed under the name Ailuropoda melanoleuca (giant panda). RNAcentral describes it as "lncRNA (ENSAMEG00000029188.1)". The record is from RNAcentral. Lineage: Eukaryota; Metazoa; Chordata; Mammalia; Carnivora; Ursidae.